UUUCCAACAGCUCAACUCCGCUCACAUACUCUGUUCCCAUGUCAUAAAAAGAGUUUGAGUUUGUUAAAGAGGUUGUGGAAGAAGGAUGAGAGGAGAGUGCCAAGCAGCACGCUGCUUCUGAAGCUAACAGUGCUGAGAAGGGUGUGGCUUGCGCUCUGCUUUCUUUUCCCCUAGACACUUCUCACCCACUCAAUCUAGUCUUUUGUCUCCCUUUCUCCUAGCUUUCUCCUUAACUAGGUUUAUGCUAAUUCCACCAGUCUAUUCUAUUCCUGUAUUCCCUCCUUCUACACCGUUCUCCCUCUCCUCUCCUCUGACUCAGAGAAGGUAGGGCUGCAGGGAGUCUCAGUAGGAAUAGCAGACUAGGGCUAGGUUCUUUGCCGGAAACACAAGUCAGAUGGCUGUGUCUGCUCUUUGCUGCUGCAGUUCCAGUAGACUGAAUCCCUGCCAUGUUCUGACACAAAGAGAAAGGGUUUCUCAGCUGCUGCACUGUGGCUGGCCAUCUCUGACCACUGGCUCUGCAGCCUGAGGGGAGAUGAGCUCAUUCCUAAAGCUGCUGCUCACUCCAUUCAUAUACUAAACAUGGCUGAAAUCCACGGCUGUGUCCAAAUACCAAUACUUUAGUCCUAAAAAGUAGGUUGUUUUUGAGUAUGUGACAUUUCGAAAAUCAAAUAUACUUUAAAUGCCUGGAUGUCAUACUCAUUUCGGAUUUGACGACAGCUGAUAAUUUGCUGUCAAUUAGAUAUGGUGAUGCCCAACUGAAAUGAACGAAUAGCGGGAACAACGCAAUGACGCAUUCGCUGCACACUUUUUGUGAAUUUCACAACCACAAUGCAUUGGAAGUGGAGGGGCUGCAAGUUUUGAGUAAAUAACUUGGAAGAUGGGGAAUAGCAAAGCUUCUACGGUGGUGUUCAAAUGAUCUACGUGAAGGAGUGUGAGCUGUCACCUGCAUGGGUGAAAAAGAAGUGGGAGAACCUUAAGCAAAAAUACACAGAGUUGAAAGCUCCCCCCACUGGGGUCAGCACUGAGGGAGGGGAGGCCACAGCUGCAUCCUAGAAGUGGUGAUGGAUGAGGCGCUGGGGGGCUGCCACUCAUCACCCCACCGGUUUGGACAUCAUCUCAUCCUCCCAAGGUGUAGCUGUGGGCUCCUCUCCAUCCCAGAAAGGUCCAGAUGUGGAGUCUGGAGAAGGAGGUGCCAGGGAGGCACGUCUUAUGACUAUUUUAGAGGCCAUGAAGUAGUUAUGUAUUUUGUAUGUCAUUUAAUUUAGCUAUUCAUUUUCUAAUGUUUUUGGUGAAGUAAUUUUUUCGUGGAUUUCUGUUUUUUUCAUUGAAAUGUGUUUCUUGUUUGUAAUAAAACAUUUUAUUUGAUACCAGUACAUCCACUGUUUACUUUCAACAUAAAAAAAUACAUUCAUACAUCUGAGCUAUCUUGUUGCAGGUGCCUGGUAACGAUUAGAUAACUUGAAAGGAAAAAGAAACUUACACACUGCUCUUGCUAGCAUCUCUUUUUCCAUCGAAGCUUAUGCUUCGGCCUCUUGGCCUUCGUCAGAGAUUUUUGUUCUAUUUUUUUGUUCUAAAUAAACCAUCUUUGGUAUUUUUUUAUUUUAUUUUUUUUUUCCAUUAUUUUACCAGGUAAGUUGACUGAGAACACGUUCUCAUUUGCAGCAACGACCUGGGGAAUAGUUACAGGGUAGAGGAGGGGGAUGAAUGAGCCAAUUGUAAACUGGGGAUUAUUAGGUGACCAUGAUGGUUUGAUGGCCAGAUUGGGAAUUUAGCCAGGACACCGGGGUUAACACCCCUACUCUUACGAUAAGUGCCAUGGGAUCUUUAAUGACCUCAGAGAGUCAGGACACCGUUUAACGUCCCAUCCGAAAGACGGCACCCUACACAGGGCAGUGUCCCCAAUCACUGCCCUGGGGCAUUGGGAUAUUUUUUAGACCAGAGGAAAGAGUGCCUCCUACUGGCCCUCCAACACCACUUCCAGCAGCAUCUGGUCUCCCAUCCAGGGACUGACCAGGACCAACCCUGCUUAGCUUCAGAAGCAAGCCAGUAGUGGUAUGCAGGGUGGUAUGCUGCUGGUAUAGUAAUUGAUAAUAUUUCUAUAGCGCUUUUCAUCUCCCAUUCCUUUUAAGCUUCAGUUGACUCUUCAAUUGAUACUUGCAUAGACCUAUGGUACACAAGUUUACUCCAAAUACGUUGUUCUAAAUGCUAGCUAAUGUUAGCCCAAAACAACACUCCGGUGUUAGUGAAAGGCAAUGGAGAAAGGUCACUGGGUGGGGCUAUAAAUGAUCCUGUCCGGUUCAUAUGUGAAGCCAUAACAGAUGGUGCUUUCAAGACAACUGGGAAAAAAACUUCCUCUGACUUCUCUGAGCUGA
Salvelinus fontinalis (brook trout) is the source of this 2372-nucleotide long non-coding RNA. RefSeq lists it as uncharacterized. Lineage: Eukaryota; Metazoa; Chordata; Actinopteri; Salmoniformes; Salmonidae. The transcript is spliced from 3 exons. The record is from RefSeq and is a predicted model, not a curated record.